Molecule: transfer RNA, 73 nt
Organism: Sphingomonas sp. Leaf231
Lineage: Bacteria; Pseudomonadati; Pseudomonadota; Alphaproteobacteria; Sphingomonadales; Sphingomonadaceae
Rfam family: tRNA
About the family: Transfer RNA (tRNA) molecules are approximately 80 nucleotides in length. Their secondary structure includes four short double-helical elements and three loops (D, anti-codon, and T loops).
Source: Rfam
GCCCAAGUAGCUCAGUUGGUAGAGCAUACGACUGAAAAUCGUAGUGUCGGUGGUUCGAUCCCGCCCUUGGGCA